UUGUGGAGAAGGACGCCGAAGGUGGGGCUGAUGACUGGGGUGAAGUCGUAACAAGGUAGCCGUACCGGAAGGUGCGGCUGGAUCACCUCCUAACAGGGAGACAAAUAAUUGAUUGUGAUGUCUAAGUUAUUUAUUCUUAGGCCGCAAUCCUGUCACCUUAAGGUCGAUCGGUACCUCAGAUUUUUGAAUUAAUUUUAUAAUUAAUCCUCUAAUUUCAGUUCCUAAACUUGUCUAGGUCACACCCAAAAAGGGUUUCUCCUGGGCCAUUAGCUCAGGUGGUUAGAGCGCACCCCUGAUAAGGGUGAGGUCCCUGGUUCAAGUCCAGGAUGGCCCAUUCGUUGUUGGGGGUAUAGCUCAGUUGGUAGAGCGCCUGCUUUGCAAGCAGGAUGUCAGCGGUUCGAGUCCGCUUACCUCCACUGAAAAUCACCCUGACAACUAAAUUCCCGAGAAACUUUUAGAUGUGACUUAGAAAUGUCUAUUUGAAAAGAACUUAGCUUCUUAUCAUCUUCUUAUAGUUGAUAAUAUGCUGAGCUCGCAUGGAUUCAUUCCAUGAGAAUUCGGUAGAACCUUGAAAACUGCAUAGAUUAGAAAGAAUAAAGCAUCUCAUGGAUGCAUAAUUCUGUAUUGAUUUUUUAGCCCAAAAGCUAAAUUAUUAAAUAUAAGAAUUCAUGUUUAAUUCUUGAGUAAUAGCCGAGCACAAUAAAUGUUGUGAUUGUAUUAAGGUCAAGCUACAA
Molecule: unclassified non-coding RNA, 734 nt
Filed under: uncultured Prochlorococcus sp.
Lineage: Bacteria; Bacillati; Cyanobacteriota; Cyanophyceae; Synechococcales; Prochlorococcaceae
Description: partial 16S-23S ribosomal RNA intergenic spacer; may also contain 16S ribosomal RNA and 23S ribosomal RNA
Rfam family: tRNA (bases 344-416)
Source: RNAcentral